AUGCAGUCGAGCGGCAGCACGGAAAGCUUGCUUUCUGGUGGCGAGCGGCGGACGGGUGAGUAAUGCAUAGGAAUCUGCCCGGUAGUGGGGGAUAACCUGGGGAAACCCAGGCUAAUACCGCAACGUCCUACGGGAGAAAGGGGGCUUCGGCUCCCGCUAUCGGAUGAGCCUAUGUCGGAUUAGCUAGUUGGUGAGGUAAUGGCUCACCAAGGCGACGAUCCGUAGCUGGUCUGAGAGGAUGAUCAGCCACAUCGGGACUGAGACACGGCCCGAACUCCUACGGGAGGCAGCAGUGGGGAAUAUUGGACAAUGGGCGCAAGCCUGAUCCAGCCAUGCCGCGUGUGUGAAGAAGGCCCUCGGGUUGUAAAGCACUUUCAGUGAGGAAGAACGCCUAUCGGUUAAUACCCGGUAGGGAAGACAUCACUCACAGAAGAAGCACCGGCUAACUCCGUGCCAGCAGCCGCGGUAAUACGGAGGGUGCGAGCGUUAAUCGGAAUUACUGGGCGUAAAGCGCGCGUAGGUGGCUAAAUAAGCCGGUGUGAAAGCCCCGGGCUCAACCUGGGAACGGCAUCCGGAACUGUUUGGCUAGAGUGCAGAGAGGAAGGUAGAAUUCCCGGUGUAGCGGUGAAAUGCGUAGAGAUCGGGAGGAAUACCAGUGGCGAAGCGGCCUUCUGGACUGACACUGACCACUGAGGUGCGAAAGCGUGGGUAGCAAACAGGAUAGAUA
RNAcentral lists this ribosomal RNA (727 nucleotides) under Billgrantia desiderata. Its description in RNAcentral is "bacterial SSU rRNA". It matches the Rfam family "Bacterial small subunit ribosomal RNA", at positions 55 to 784 of the family's 1533-position model. Lineage: Bacteria; Pseudomonadati; Pseudomonadota; Gammaproteobacteria; Oceanospirillales; Halomonadaceae. The record is from RNAcentral.